AUGGCUGAGGACAAGCUUCUUUGCGAGUGUUGGCGAGACAUUGGACAAGACCCCAAGACGGGCGCCGAGCAAAAGUAUUCAACCUUUUGGAUUCGUGUCCACCAAGAGUUUCAUGGGCGCAAGAAGUUCCUGUCGUACCAAUUUGUGAGCACGCGCGGGUGGGUCUCCAUUUCCAAGCGGUGGAGGGUGAUUCAACAAGAGUGCAACAAGUUUUGUGCCACUCUUGAGAGCGUCAAGGCCCGCUGUCGGUGUCAAAACCGGCGGAUCUCGGGUAGUGGGUCCCGAACUGUGCGUCUAGGCGGAUGGUAA
RNAcentral lists this ribosomal RNA (309 nucleotides) under Triticum aestivum (bread wheat). RNAcentral describes it as "partial small subunit ribosomal RNA". The record is from RNAcentral. Lineage: Eukaryota; Viridiplantae; Streptophyta; Magnoliopsida; Poales; Poaceae.